GGACCCGUAGCUCAAUUGGUAGAGCGUCAGAUUCCAGACAGGAAUAUCCUGAAGGUUAUCCGUUCGAUUCGGGUCGGGUUCA
Vararia minispora EC-137 is the source of this 82-nucleotide non-coding RNA. NCBI's taxonomy places the organism in Eukaryota, Fungi, Basidiomycota, Agaricomycetes, Russulales, Lachnocladiaceae. The record is from the annotation of a GenBank genome assembly.